CUCUCUAAUGAUGUGGUUUAUAAAACUUUCGUUCUCCUGAGCUUAAUAAUGCUGAAAAAUUGUGGAGACCUGAGCUGAAGAGUU
This is a small nucleolar RNA of Hevea brasiliensis (rubber tree), 84 nucleotides long. RefSeq annotates it as small nucleolar RNA Z159/U59. The record is from RefSeq and is a predicted model, not a curated record. The transcript has a single exon. NCBI's taxonomy places the organism in Eukaryota, Viridiplantae, Streptophyta, Magnoliopsida, Malpighiales, Euphorbiaceae.